GCCCUUAACGCGGCGGCCGAACCGGCCUAUAUUGUUUGGUGCCGGGGCAACCCGGUCUAUGGCGAUAAACGGACGUCGUAAUAAACCUUUCGGACCCGGGGGCAGUACCCGGCGCCUCCACCCGUGUCGCUCGCCAUACCAGGUGCCCGUUCGUUGAAGCGGGACCGGUCUCUCCGAAAGGACGGACCUUGUGGGCGACACCGGCGGGGGCGAACUAGGAUCGACGAGGGCGUAAAAGGCUAUCUUUCGCUCGGCAUGGUUCCGCCGAUAUCGGGCCAAUCUCAUAGUUGCCAACGACAACUAUGCUCCGGUUGCUCAGGCCGCCUAAGCGGUCCUGAAAAACCAAGCCUACAAGUCCUAACGGGAUAAGCUCCGUUAGGCGGGGUUCGGAGGCACCUGGCAACAGAAGCCUCCACU
RNAcentral lists this transfer-messenger RNA (417 nucleotides) under Undibacter mobilis. RNAcentral's name for it is "Pseudolabrys sp. GY_H transfer-messenger RNA". It matches the Rfam family "Alphaproteobacteria transfer-messenger RNA". Rfam says of the family: Bacterial tmRNA, also known as 10Sa RNA or SsrA, is named for its dual tRNA and mRNA-like properties. Its role is to liberate the mRNA from a stalled ribosome. To accomplish this part of the tmRNA is used as a reading frame that ends in a translation stop signal. The record is from RNAcentral. Lineage: Bacteria; Pseudomonadati; Pseudomonadota; Alphaproteobacteria; Hyphomicrobiales; Nitrobacteraceae.